RNAcentral lists this long non-coding RNA (1302 nucleotides) under Homo sapiens (human). RNAcentral describes it as "long intergenic non-protein coding RNA 658". The record is from RNAcentral. Lineage: Eukaryota; Metazoa; Chordata; Mammalia; Primates; Hominidae.
UCUCUCUCUGCGGAAGCCAGCCACCGCUCUCCAAGGACUCUCGAGCAGCUCCAUCUACAGAUUCACAUGGAGAAGAAUUAAGGGUUCCUGCCAAUCACCAGCACCACUUUGCCAGCCUUGUAAGUGGGCCACCUUGGAAUUGGAGCCUCCAGUUCCUACUGACAUCUGACUGCAACAUCAUGAGAGACCCUGAGUUUGAACCACCCAGCUGAGCUGCUUCUGAGCUAACCCACUGAAACCGUGAAAGUACCUGAAUGAAACAACACCCAGUAGCCACUAGCACACCUAGCUCCCAGAUCUGUUUUUGAUGCCAUUCUUCAGUAAAAGGAAGCAAGGCUGCUUGGAGAAAUUGCUAUCAAGGACUGGGGUAGAAAAUAUACAAGAUGAAAUUGGAGCAUCUUGUAGUGCUUGAAAACAGUUGGCAUCUGUGUGAAGAUGUGAAUGGAGGAGGCAGAGUAGGCAGUGAGUGCCGCAGCCACAGCUUGUGUUCUCUGCAGCCCUGGCACAGAAGAUAGGAACACUCAUGGGGGAUGCGGCCACUGUGAUGUCUUCCCACACAAGAAGUGCCAAGUGCUUUUCUCAUGCUUUUCUGGAUUGUCCCAUGGUGGACGAGUCAGCAGGAGUGAGAUGGAGCAGCACAGUAGAGGGGUGUGCCACCUCUUUGAUCCAGCAAGUGGGAAGAACAGUCCCGGCCUCUUUGCACACAAGACCGUGAUACCAAUGCACCAUCACAGGCCCCACAGGGGAGCUGUCCGCUUCCCCACACAGCUGCUAGGGGCUCUUUUGCAUGUUCCCAACCUUUCCUGCCUUUAUCUGAUAUUCGUUCCUUAGAUCCUGGGAUGAGGAGGUGGACCAGCAGAAGGUGGGCUUGUGAAGGCAGCCCGGGGUCCAAAUCCUCCUGGCUCUUCAGCUUAGCGGGAUGUCACCUUCAGCGUCUGAAAGCUGGGUUUGAUGCGUCUGGAAAGGCGUCCCUGACAGGCGUCGUUGCCAGGAGCCCCUAGUGCCACCAGCAGCCAGCAGGGGAGGGCGUCCUCUGCCCGCUCACUUCUGACCCUUCUCUCGUUGCACCCGGAACAUGGUGCAGCUGGGAGCAGCCUGGGCUGCGCGGAAGGCUCAGAUUUGGGGACGGCCCUUGCCAGUGACUGUGAGCUGGGGUGUCUUGGAAACUCCCAGUCUCAGCUUCUCCAUUUAUAAGAUGAGAAUGAUCAUACCAGACUCAGGCAAGGUUGUUUGUGCAUUAGUGAAAUCAGACGUAUUAAAUAAAGUACCACAUUGAUCGUGGAGUUGUUGAAUAACCAAGAA